RNAcentral lists this ribosomal RNA (485 nucleotides) under uncultured bacterium. RNAcentral describes it as "bacterial SSU rRNA". It matches the Rfam family "Bacterial small subunit ribosomal RNA", at positions 15 to 518 of the family's 1533-position model. The record is from RNAcentral.
GAUAUGGCUCAGGACGAACGCUGGCGGCGUGCUUAACACAUGCAAGUCGAGCGAUGAAGCUCUUCGGGAGUGGAUUAGCGGCGGACGGGUGAGUAACACGUGGGUAACCUGCCUCAUAGAGGGGAAUAGCCUUCCGAAAGGAAGAUUAAUACCGCAUAAGAUUGUAAUAUCGCAUGAUAUAGCAAUUAAAGGAGCAAUCCGCUAUGAGAUGGACCCGCGUCGCAUUAGCUAGUUGGUGAGGUAACGGCUCACCAAGGCGACGAUGCGUAGCCGACCUGAGAGGGUGAUCGGCCACAUUGGGACUGAGACACGGCCCAGACUCCUACGGGAGGCAGCAGUGGGGAAUAUUGCACAAUGGGGGAAACCCUGAUGCAGCCAACGCCGCGUGAGUGAUGACGGUCUUCGGAUUGUAAAGCUCUGUCUUCAGGGACGAUAAUGACGGUACCUGAGGAGGAAGCCACGGCUAACUACGUGCCAGCCGCAGC